RNAcentral lists this ribosomal RNA (501 nucleotides) under uncultured bacterium. RNAcentral describes it as "bacterial SSU rRNA". It matches the Rfam family "Bacterial small subunit ribosomal RNA", at positions 29 to 524 of the family's 1533-position model. The record is from RNAcentral.
AUUGAACGCUGGCGGCGUGCCUAACACAUGCAAGUCGAGCGGUAACAGGUGUAGCAAUACAUGCUGACGAGCGGCGGACGGGUGAGUAACGCUUGGGAAUCUGCCUAUUAGUGGGGGACAACCCGGGGAAACUCGGGCUAAUACCGCAUACGCACUACGGUGGAAAGCCGGGGACCGCAAGGCCUGGCGCUAACAGAUGAGCCCAAGUCGGAUUAGCUAGUUGGUAGGGAACGGCCUACCAAGGCGACGAUCCGUAACUGGUCUGAGAGGACGACCAGUCACACCGGAACUGAGACACGGUCCGGACUCCUACGGGAGGCAGCAGUGGGGAAUAUUGGACAAUGGGCGAAAGCCUGAUCCAGCGACGCCGCGUGGGUGAAGAAGGCCUGCGGGUUGUAAAGCCCUUUCAGUGGGGAAGAAAAGCCUCGAGCUAACACCUCGGGUCUUGACGUAACCCAUAGAAGAAGCACCGGCUAACUCUGUGCCAGCCGCCGCAGUAAU